RNAcentral lists this transfer RNA (72 nucleotides) under Camelus bactrianus (Bactrian camel). It matches the Rfam family "tRNA". Rfam says of the family: Transfer RNA (tRNA) molecules are approximately 80 nucleotides in length. Their secondary structure includes four short double-helical elements and three loops (D, anti-codon, and T loops). The record is from Rfam by way of RNAcentral. Lineage: Eukaryota; Metazoa; Chordata; Mammalia; Artiodactyla; Camelidae. RNAcentral also lists the same sequence under 2 other names.
GUGGGCACAGCUCAUUGGUAGAGCACAUGCUUAGCAUGCAUGAGGUCCUGGGUUCAAUAUCCAGUAUCUCCA